UGAGGAUGCCAGACGAUCGCAGGCUUUUGCCUGAGGAAAGUCCGAGCACCGCAGGGCAGGAUGCCGGUCAACUGCCGGUGGAGGCGACUCUAAGGAAAGUGCAACAGAGAUAUACCGCGCCCCUUCGGGGACGUAAGGGUGGAAAGGUGAGGUAAGAGCUCACCAGCGGCCUGGCGACUCGUCCGCUCUGUAAACCCCAUCCGGUGCAAGAUUGAUAGGGAAGCAUAUGUGGCGGCCCGUCACGCUUCCGGGUAAUCGCUAGAGCCUGCUGGCAACUGCAGGCCUAGAUAGAUGAUCGUCCAAUACAGAACUCGGCUUACAGACAUCACUCACGAU
Molecule: RNase P RNA, 336 nt
Filed under: Clostridiales bacterium
Lineage: Bacteria; Bacillati; Bacillota; Clostridia; Eubacteriales
Description: RNase P RNA component class A
Rfam family: Bacterial RNase P class A
About the family: Ribonuclease P (RNase P) is a ubiquitous endoribonuclease, found in archaea, bacteria and eukarya as well as chloroplasts and mitochondria.
Source: RNAcentral